AUGGGUGGUGUUGCCCCAAAAAACAUCAUCACAGACCAGGACUUUGCAAUGAGGAGUGCGAUCGACGAGGUCUUCUUGAACAUAAUACACAGAAAUUGUCGCUGUCAUAUAAUGAAGAAGGCGCUGGAGAAACUUGGAAAACUUAUGGCUGAUGAUAAACCACUAAACAAAGCGUUCAAAGACUGUGUCGACAACAGCUUGACUGGGGCAGUUUCAUUGGACCAACAUCAAAUUAGAAUGGAAACAAUGUGUGGACAUGAAGAGUUUGAAAACAAAUGGUGGGCAAUGAUGGAUGAAUAUGGCCAGAUCGACAACGAACAUUUUCACUGGCUGUGGGAAAAUAGGAAAUGUUGGGCCCCAGUGUACUACAUGAAGUAUUUCUUUCCAUUCUUGCAGACAACUGCAAGGAGCGAGGGAUUCAAUGCUGUGCUGAAGAAGUAUGUGAACCCCAACAACUCAUUGAUUGAAUUCGCAACUCAAUACACUGCAAUCCAGGAGAAAGCGAGCAAGGAUGAAGGGGUAUACUCAUGCACUUGCUGCAAGUUUGAUCGCGAUGGGCUAUUGUGUGCACAUAUACUACGAGUAAUGGAACAGAUUGGAGUCUACGAGAUACUGAGGAGAGACGACAUGGAUGCACUAAAAAAGAGGCAGAUAAAGAAAGCAAGAAAGGAAAAAGAUGAGGGAAAAGAAGCACAAAUGUUUUCUUCACCACCAGGGACUAGUGCCACUGAAGUUCUAGGGCUCACGUGCCGAGGGAUCCCAAUCAUCAAACAAAAGAGUGAUACUAGACCCACCAAAGUCUACUACGAAAGUGCGUCCAAGAGUGAAAAGAUUCCAGCACCCAUUUGA
RNAcentral lists this ribosomal RNA (849 nucleotides) under Triticum aestivum (bread wheat). RNAcentral describes it as "partial small subunit ribosomal RNA". The record is from RNAcentral. Lineage: Eukaryota; Viridiplantae; Streptophyta; Magnoliopsida; Poales; Poaceae.